This is a long non-coding RNA of Podarcis raffonei (Aeolian wall lizard), 760 nucleotides long. RefSeq lists it as uncharacterized. The transcript is spliced from 2 exons. The record is from RefSeq and is a predicted model, not a curated record. Lineage: Eukaryota; Metazoa; Chordata; Lepidosauria; Squamata; Lacertidae.
GCCCCAACUUCAACCCACAAAUAUCCACCGGCUUCCGUCAACUGGUUUCUGAAGGUGAAUUUCAACAAGCGUAAAUCUACAAACAUCCACCUGCUUCAGCCUCAUGGCAUUUCACUGAUAUCUGAAUGAGAACCCAUUGGCUUCCACCCACUAACAUCUUCCAGGUUCAGUUAGGUCCAUCACUAGACGUGAGCCAGUUUCUGACCAUGGAUGCCAGCCACCUUCAAGCCACAACUCUGCUCAGCAAGUGAACUUGCCUUAUUAUCGUUCCACAGCAUCCCACAGCCAGACAAUUGCUUCUGUCCGUCUGCUGAUUCCCCUUCUCCAAGUGGCAGAGUGAGCGAUACUUCCUGUCCCAGCUGUUGCCCACUGUCGUCUGUUGGGAAAGAGGAAAGGGCUCACUUUUAUACCCACCCAGUUGCCAUGGGCAUUUGUGAUGUCACAGGUAGUCCGUAGCCAAUGGCAACCACUGGGGAUGCAUCACCAGAAUCUCCUCAGGCCUCACAAUGGACAAUGGAAGCAGAGAAAGGGUGGAGAGGCUGGUGAGGUUCUGACAAGUGUUGAUCUCCGAGCUAACCAAGCCGAAGAGCCACCGCAAUGGUACCCUGCUGUGCAAACUGCUGCUUAUAGGAGAUGUUGUCAAUUCAAUCUCCUGCCAAGUGUUACCUGAUUUAAAGGGAGAGUCGGUGGAAGCACCCGAGGAACCUUCGGUGCAGAAAGAGAUUGAUUAUGGAAUAAAAUUAUAACAUUACAGCUCUGA